Molecule: non-coding RNA, 230 nt
Organism: Drosophila suzukii
Lineage: Eukaryota; Metazoa; Arthropoda; Insecta; Diptera; Drosophilidae
Source: RefSeq, a predicted model, not a curated record
UAAACCAGUGGUUUAAAAGUGAUACCUAUACGAUUCCCAGACAAGGCUAAUGGUAAAUCUAUAAAAAAAAUGGAAGGCCAAGUCGUUACAUCUUAAGCAUAUUAUCCGAGGAACUUGUUCUGUCCCACAACUUGGAGGGGGGCAAAACAAGAAGAAGCUCAGACUACCCACAUUUCGUCCGCGCUUUAUUAAAUGCAAUCGCCCUGGUGGAUCCCUCGGAGCCUCCCGAA